AUACGGAGGGUGCAAGCGUUAUUCGGAAUCAUUGGGUUUAAAGGGUCCGUAGGCGGACUAUUAAGUCAGAGGUGAAAUCCCACAGCUCAACUGUGGAACUGCCUUUGAUACUGGUAGUCUUGAGUUAUAUGGAAGUAGAUAGAAUGUGUAGUGUAGCGGUGAAAUGCAUAGAUAUUACACAGAAUACCGAUUGCGAAGGCAGUCUACUACGUAUAUACUGACGCUAAGGGACGAAAGCGUGGGGAGCGAACAUGAUUAGAUACCCUAGUAGUCC
Molecule: ribosomal RNA, 274 nt
Filed under: uncultured bacterium
Lineage: Bacteria
Description: partial 16S ribosomal RNA
Rfam family: Bacterial small subunit ribosomal RNA
Source: RNAcentral